GGCCUAACACAUGCAAGUCGAGCGGUAACAGGAAAGCGCCUGCGCUUUUGCUGACGAGCGGCGGACGGGUGAGUAAUGUCUGGGGAUCUGCCCGAGGGCGGGGGAUAACCACUGGAAACGGUGGCUAAUACCGCAUAAUGUCGCGAGACCAAAGUGGGGGACCUUUAUGGGCCUCACGCCAUCGGAUGAACCCAGAUGGGAUUAGCUGGUAGGUAGGGUAAUGGCCUACCUAGGCGACGAUCCCUAGCUGGUCUGAGAGGAUGACCAGCCACACUGGGACUGAGACACGGCCCAGACUCCUACGGGAGGCAGCAGUGGGGAAUAUUGCACAAUGGGCGCAAGCCUGAUGCAGCCAUGCCGCGUGUAUGAAGAAGGCCUUCGGGUUGUAAAGUACUUUCAGCGGGGAGGAAGGGGUUGAUUUGAACAGAGUCGGCUUUUGACGUUACCCGCAGGAGAAGCACCGGUUAAC
This 469-nucleotide ribosomal RNA is filed under the name Photorhabdus luminescens. RNAcentral's name for it is "bacterial SSU rRNA". It matches the Rfam family "Bacterial small subunit ribosomal RNA", at positions 45 to 501 of the family's 1533-position model. Lineage: Bacteria; Pseudomonadati; Pseudomonadota; Gammaproteobacteria; Enterobacterales; Morganellaceae. The record is from RNAcentral.